Molecule: long non-coding RNA, 1806 nt
Organism: Chelonus insularis
Lineage: Eukaryota; Metazoa; Arthropoda; Insecta; Hymenoptera; Braconidae
Exons: 3
Source: RefSeq, a predicted model, not a curated record
GACGAAUCGACUGCCGCAGUCGCGCGCUUGCACUCUCAGUGGUUAGCGGAGGCUGAGUGUACGUAUCCUAAAUUUUUUCGUAUACGAAUAUGUAUUUACUGGCAUAAAAAUUCGUUAAUUGUUACUAAAAGUAAUCCACCGAAAGUCUGAAGCGUACAAACGUGGUGUUAUUGAAAUAAUUGUAUAUUGACGUACGAAAAUAAGCGGCUGUUUACUACGAAUGGGGCCGAUACAUUUAUCCAUCGAAAGGAAAGUGGGGGGAAAAUGAGAUCUCAUAUCACUGUGUGAGAAUGUCGAUGCUUCAGUGUAUUUAUCGCGUCGACGCACGUUACUGACUCGCACCACGUUCAUCAAUCCAUUGAUUAUUGUUGUCUUUAUCAUGUGUGUGUUUUAUCGAAAAUAGCGAGAAAAUUUAACAUAAACGCGAGACUCUAAAGUACAAGAACUGAGUGUCAUGCACGUGUAUAUUGUGUGUAUUCAGUGUUUAAGCUCAAUCGAUUUAAUAGAGCAUAAAUUAAUAAGUGAACAGCAAUAUUGAUAUUAACCAUCAUCAUCAUCAUCAUCGGUGAUAUUAUACACCGGCACACAUAUUGUUGAUAUUAUUAUUAUUAUAUGGUGCAAAUUGGAUAUUCAUCGAAAGAAGAAUACGAAAUAAAGAUUCAAAAUGUGGCUCAGUGGAGAAAUAGAAGGCGGUGAUGAAAAUUUCUGACCUCGCGUUUCUAAAAUUCCAAAACAGCGCGGGAGUGUUAUGGUUUAUUGAAAAAUCAAUGAGUAAUAAAAUAAAUAUUAAAAGAAAUAUUUUCAACAAGCAAAAGACCAUUGGAAUCGUGAUGAAAAUAUUGCAGCCAUUUAAUAUAUACGUAUAUACAUAAUUAUUAUAUGCAUAUAUAUACCUUCUACCUUGAGAUAAAAUACCUCGUACCUACAAGUACCUUCAAACAUCAUCUACCUUUCACAGCGCAAUAGUGCCUGGGUCACUGAGUUCAUAAUACUAAUAUAAUAAUAAUAAUAAUUCGAUUACUAUUAUUAUUAUAUUAUCAUAAUACAAUUAUUAAUAAUAAUGAAGAAAGAAAGAGCACGAAAACUGAAACAUUUUAAUGGAACUGAUAUUAAUUAAUUGUUAAUGAAAAAAUAAAACAAAAUAGUCAUAGAAGAAGAAGAAGAAGACGCACAGAUACAUUAUUGAAGAAAAUAAUAUUUAAAAACUGUUAUCUUUGAAUCACUUAAUUGAAACCAGGACAGCCAAGUACCUGCAUACAAAUUUAUUUAUAACAAUUUUAAACAAUACUUAAAACAGUCAAGCUAUAUUUAAAAAAAAAAACGUUAUUAUUAUCAUUCAAUAAUAAUAAUAGUAAUAUGAAUAAUAUUAAAAUUGAAAAGUCAUAAUUUAAACAUAAUUACACAAGUAUUGUCAAAAGUUAUUACUUAACUUUUAAAAAGUUUUGGAAACAAAAUCGUGAGACUCAUUUAUAUUAUCUAGUGACUAGUGCUCUCAUUUCUUUACUAUGUGGAUAUCUCGUUUUGCAAAUGACCGAGAUAACUGGAAAUUUGCAAGAACUGGAGAUUAUGCAACAAGUUUCUUCAAUUGAUAUAUUUAAGUGAUUUAAUGUUCAAUUAUUAUUCCAACAACAUCAUAAACUACAGAUUUAUUCGUGAUGAAUCACUCAAAAUAAGUGAAACAAUGAGUUUAAGUUGAAUCUUGUGAAGAACCAUUUUUUGAAUAUUAUAAUAAAACAAAAUAUUUAAAAUAAUUGACAACGGCUUUUGAAAAAUAAUAAGCCCGUAUGUGAAGCUAUAUUUAGAGCA